CCUACGGGAGGCAGCAGUGGGGAAUAUUGCACAAUGGGGGAAACCCUGAUGCAGCGACGCCGCGUGAGUGAAGAAGUAAUUCGUUAUGUAAAGCUCUAUCAGCAGGGAAGAAAAUGACGGUACCUGAGUAAGAAGCCCCGGCUAACUACGUGCCAGCAGCCGCGGUAAUACGUAGGGGGCAAGCGUUCUCCGGAUUUACUGGGUGGAAAGGGAGCGUAGACGGCCGUGCAAGUCUGGAGUGAAAGGCGGGGGCUCAACCCCCGUACUGCUCUGGAAACUGUACGGCUGGAGUGCAGGAGAGGUAAGUAGAAUUCCUAGUGUAGCGGUGAAAUGCGUAGAUAUUAGGAGGAACACCAGUGGCGAAGGCGGCUUACUGGACUGUAACUGACGUUGAGGCGCGAAAGCGUGGGGAGCAAACAGGAUUAGAUACCCCUGUAGUC
Molecule: ribosomal RNA, 440 nt
Filed under: uncultured bacterium
Lineage: Bacteria
Description: partial 16S ribosomal RNA
Rfam family: Bacterial small subunit ribosomal RNA
Source: RNAcentral